UACGUAGGGGGCGAGCGUUAAUCGGAAUUACUGGGCGUAAAGCGUGCGCAGGCGGUUAUGUAAGACAGAGGUGAAAUCCCCGGGCUCAACCUGGGAACUGCCUUUGUGACUGCAUGACUAGAGAACGGCAGAGGGGGAUGGAAUUCCGCGUGUAGCAGUGAAAUGCGUAGCUAUGCGGAGGAACACCGAUGGCGAAGGCAAUCCCCUGGGCCCGUACUGACGCUCAUGCACGAAAGCGUGGGGAGCAAACAGG
This 253-nucleotide ribosomal RNA is filed under the name uncultured bacterium. Its description in RNAcentral is "partial 16S ribosomal RNA". It matches the Rfam family "Bacterial small subunit ribosomal RNA", at positions 524 to 776 of the family's 1533-position model. The record is from RNAcentral.